Molecule: ribosomal RNA, 468 nt
Filed under: uncultured bacterium
Lineage: Bacteria
Description: partial 16S ribosomal RNA
Rfam family: Bacterial small subunit ribosomal RNA
Source: RNAcentral
GACGAACGCUGGCGGCGUGCUUAACACAUGCAAGUCGAACGGAAAGGCCCUGCUUUUGUGGGGUGCUCGAGUGGCGAACGGGUGAGUAACACGUGAGUAACCUGCCCUUGACUUUGGGAUAACUUCAGGAAACUGGGGCUAAUACCGGAUAGGAGCUCCUGCUGCAUGGUGGGGGUUGGAAAGUUUCGGCGGUUGGGGAUGGACUCGCGGCUUAUCAGCUUGUUGGUGGGGUAGUGGCUUACCAAGGCUUUGACGGGUAGCCGGCCUGAGAGGGUGACCGGCCACAUUGGGACUGAGAUACGGCCCAGACUCCUACGUGAGGCAGCAGUGGGGAAUAUUGCACAAUGGGCGGAAGCCUGAUGCAGCAACGCCGCGUGCGGGAUGACGGCCUUCGGGUUGUAAACCGCUUUCGCCUGUGACGAAGCGUGAGUGACGGUAAUUGGUAAAGAAGCACCGGCUAACUACGUG